Non-coding RNA from Pelobates cultripes (western spadefoot toad), 387 nucleotides. Lineage: Eukaryota; Metazoa; Chordata; Amphibia; Anura; Pelobatidae. The record is from the annotation of a GenBank genome assembly.
CUCAGAGAGAGAUACACUGCAUCCUAACUGCACCCAGAGAGAGAGAGACACUGCACCCUAACUGCACUCAGAGAGAGAGAGAUACACUGCAUUCUAACUGCACUCAGAGAGAGAUACACUGCAUCCUAACUGCAUCCAGAGAGUGAGAGAUACACUGCAUCCUCUCUGCACCCAGAGAGAGAGAGAUACACUGCAUCCUAACUGCACAGAGAGAGAGAGAGAGAGAUACACUGCAUCCUAACUGCACCCAGAGAGAGAGAGAUACACUGCAUCCUAACUGCACUCAGAGAGAGAGAGAUACACUACAUUCUAACUGCACUCAGAGAGAGAGAGAUACACUGCAUUCUAACUGCACUCAGAGAGAGAUACACUGCAUCCUAACUGCAC